Long non-coding RNA from Triticum dicoccoides, 5483 nucleotides. RefSeq lists it as uncharacterized. The record is from RefSeq and is a predicted model, not a curated record. NCBI's taxonomy places the organism in Eukaryota, Viridiplantae, Streptophyta, Magnoliopsida, Poales, Poaceae. The transcript is spliced from 16 exons.
CCUCCUUCCGCCUCGCUCCGCCUGCCGCUGUACUACGCCUCCACAUCGCUUCCGCCCGUCGCUGUACUUCGCCUCCACAUCGCCAUGAAGGUGGUCCUUCGCUGACCUGUUCAUCCAUCGCUCGUCUUGUUCGUCUCUCUGUUCUCCGGUCCUCGUCGUCGUCAAGGGAUUGGCAUCAUCGGUUCAUAAUCAAGUUUGACUCGUUAUCUAAUCUGCUGGGCAUAUCGACUCUGCGGCUAAGGUGCGCUUCCCACUCUUUUUAACUUGUUUCGGUUGAUUGUGCUUGGAUUGCGUCUGCUUAUUCGCAGUUAUUUUCGUUGCGCAAUUUGUGAUAUUUGUGAAAUGCCACAUCUUUGAUAUGAUCUCUUAUAGCUAAGAAAAGGUAAAAAAACAUCCUUUUGUCUUCCAACUCAACAAUUAUUUGACAUUGCUAAAAUAUAACCAUUUUAUUUUCCUUAACUAUAUCUUGACCAUAUAGGUCAACACUGACUUGUUUUUGGCACACAUGGUUCCCAUUGCCUUGUUAUGAAACAAGGAAUAAGCAGAUACCAAAAUUUAGGGUCGAUCGAUGGGUACGAAACACAUAUGUCAAUGAAGUAACUUUGGGGAACCAUGAACUCAAAAAUUUAGGAGCACUUGACAGCGAGACGGAGUUAACUGAAAGUGAUCUACAAAUAAUCGUGUCAUUCUCUUGUAUGAGAUCUGAAGCAAGGUUGUUGGGUCAGUUCUUGUUUUGCUUCUUUGAGAUUUCGGUUUCUGCCUAUGUUACUUUGUUGAUGCUCAUGAGGUGUUUCUUGUUAUGUCUGCUUCAAUUUUCUUUUAUUUUUUCUGUUGUGUGAUUUUCCAAGCAAGGUUGUUUGGUCGAUUCUUGUUUUGCUUCUUUGAGGCGUUUCUUGUUAUGUCUGCUUCAAUUUUGUUUUCUUUUUUCUAUUGUGCGAUUUUCCAAGCAAGGUUGUUUGGUCGAUUCUUGUUUUGCUUCUUUGAGCUUUCGGUUUCUGCCUCUGUGAAUACGCUCAUCAGGUGUUUCUGCCUCUGUGAAUACGCUCAUCAGGUGUUUCUUCUUAUGUGUGCCAAGUUUGCUGUGCUAGAUAGAUGACAUGCCUGCAGCACAAGUUAUGUUGAAACCAAGUCUGCUGUGAAUGAUAAGCAAGGUUGUUCGGUCGGCUCUUGUUUUGCUUCUUUCAGAUUUCGAUUUGUGCCUCAUGCUAUCAUUAUCCCAUCAGAGUAGGUACACAUCAGAGGAGGUUCAAUCAUGUUAUGAUUAUGGUUUCUAUAAUUUUAUUAUAGAUGGAUGCUUCUUUUUUCCUUGUUUGUUCUGUACAACAAAGUGCACUUUUGAUUGAUAUUAUUACAUGUUAUUAAAAGUGCAGAUUGUAGUUUUGAUCACUCAUGUAAAAUUGAGGGAGUCAUUAACAGUAGGUGGUAAUUGAGGUCGUACAAGGAUAUCUUCAGUUCUUGAUAAAGCAUAGUGCCAUCUGUCUUCCCCCCUUUUGUUCUGCCAGAUCUGGUUCUCUUUAUUUUCUCUACUUGUUCUUGUUGUGAGGUUCUUGAUGAGUCUCAUACAGAUUGAUAUGGUGUACAUUUUUGCAAGUGUGUGUACAGUCUGAACAAGUGAUUAGUAUAUGGCCAAGGCAGUUUUGCGGCGUUUAGUACACUGCUAUUUGGGCAGGCCAGCAAAGAAUUGCUUUAGUGAUUGUUGAGCUGUGUUGUACUUUUUCUUCACAUGAAAUGAUCUCUUUGUUGAUCUUUUUUCCCCGUUUUCUUGGAGAGUGUUGCCUUUGCAAUGGUUUGGCCAUAAAUUUUUUGUGUUGCGAUAGCCAAAUACUGAACUUUAGAGGGAGACAUUCGCUGUUUUUCAGAAUUGAUGGAACUACAAAAAAUAACUGGCUCUGCUUAAUAAUUCUGCUUACACCCCUAUUUGUAAAGAUUUUUGUUUAGUACACGCUUGAUACCUAGCACCAGUACCCCUGUUUUGUUAUUACUACCCCCGUUGCUAAAUAUAAGAUGUUUUAGUAGUUCAAUUUUAACUGCCAAAACAUCUUGUUUCUAGAAACAGAGGGUGUAUUUGACUGCAAGAUUUGAUAGCAAAGCAUACCAGUAAGUGGUCCAAAGAAAGGACUUUGUAGUGAUCUGCUGCAGGUUCUCAAGGACUACUUGCAGCCUUUGUGUGUGUUUUUAGUCUUCUCAUGAUUUACUUCCUCACAAAACUAAGCAGUGUGGUUGACUUACAUUAUGCUCAGCAUAUCGACUCUGCUGCUAAGGUGCGCUUUCCACUCUUUUUAGCUUGCUUCUGUUGCUUGUUCUUGGAUUGCAUCUGUUUAUUCGCGGUUAUUUUGCUUGCAUGAUCUAUAAUAUUUGUACGUAUCGACGAGCAGGGAACAUGAAUUCCAGUGAUCCUGGUACCGAUCAUGCUGCUGCACACAGUUGAUCUGUUGCUCGAAGUCGUAGUAGAGCAGCAGCACGUCUUACGUUGUUCAAAAGUGCGUUGCGGUUUGAAAUGAUUGUAGGUUAUUGUUGUACUUACAACGCUGCAUUUUGUGCAAUGUGAACUUAUGUGUAAAUCACCUCUUUAGGCGCCUUGAGUUCUGUACCUAGAUCAUCAUCCUUUGGUGCAAACAGUCCUUUUAUGGGUAUGUGCCAUCAAUACUGUAAUUCAAACAAGUAGAAUAACACCCUUUUAACACAUCUAUACCAAUCUGAAAAUUUCCUUAGGCGGUGGUUUCUUUCCGGUUCUGUCACGUACAUACAGCCGGUUAAGGCGACAUCAGCGAAUGCGAAAGAGAAAAAUGCGAGUGUGGCGUCGAACAGGUCUGCCCUGCUUGUGUCGGCUCACAUCCCACUAUAAAAACAAAGCCUAACUCGUUAUGCGCCUGUGCUAAAUUAUUUCUUUCAUUUGUUUUAAGGUUACCCCUACCAGACUACAUCUACCACGCGCUCUCUGUUUUCUUCUGACUACACAGAGUUCUUAAAAGAUGCUUUUUGACUCGCUGUCUGAUGUGUCGCCGACAAGCCGACACUGGUCUAUUCGCGUCCGUGUUGCAUGUAUGUGUUACUACUGUGGAACAUGUGAUGGACAACCUCCAAUACAUGUUGACCUGUGUUGGUGGAUGAAAAGGGUAACCAUAUUUAUGCUGAGAUUCCUAGAAAUGAGGCAACCAAGUUCAAACAGCUUGUUGAAGAACAAAAAGUUUAUUGCUUCAAGAAAUUAUUGGUUUUCGAAGCAAAGCCUCUUACAAGCCGUUCCUUGCCAAGUACAUGAUUAGGUUCACACCCUGGACCACUGUUGUACAUGCUGAGGAUGUUGAUCCAGAGUUUCCUAUGUAUGUGUACAAACUAAUGCCAUUUUCCGAACUUCCAUCACGUGUUGGUGCGCAGGAUUUCUUUGUUGAUGUCAUUGGACAAAUUGUUGGUGUGUCACAGUUGGCAUACGUGCGAAUGCCUACAAACACAACAGACACUCCAAAGCAGGUCACUGCCUUCAGAGAUGAUAGGAAUACCGAAAUGAAAAUCGUUCUUUGGGGACAAAGGGUUGCUGAGUUUGAAGCGCAACUUGUGUAUGACAAUGGACAGAACUUACCUGUUAUUGGUGUUUUUGUUGGCCUUCUAAUGAAAUCUUACAAUAAUGAUGAAACUCUUAGCAGAGGAUCUGCAUGCAGAUGGUAUCUAAACGAGGACAUUCCUGAAAUAGAUGACUCCUUUGAAAGGUUGGGUGAUGAUUUUCCAAAAAAUUCAAUGGAUAUCAAAUGGUGCUGAGAAGUUUGCCGCAAAAAGCAACCGAGGUGACCUCCCACAGAAAACUGUCGACGAGCUGCGAAACAUGGAUCCAUGGGAGGCAGAGAACACAUAUUUUCUUUGCACUGCCACAAUUACAAAAGUGAUGCCUGAGCAGCCAUGGUGGUUCCAAUCUUGUUGUAAAUUCCAUUGUUCUGCCACCUCUUAUGGCUCGGAAUUCAGAUGCAGUGCAAGAUGUGUCUCAACAAAAGCUUACCCAAAGUUCCGCCUUUGUUUAGAAGGAACGGAUGGCACAGGCGCAUCCGAGUUUGUGUUCUUUAACAGAGUUGCACAACAACUUGUUGGAAAAUAUGUCAUGGCACUGCUAAGGUCAUCUGCACUUCCUCGUGAAAUAGCUGCAGUUGUGUCUCAGAAAUAUACCCUUGCUGUCUCAGUGACCCAGAAGAGCCUCUAAAAGAGAAACAUUUCAUUCCAAGUGAAUGGCAUUCAAACCUUUUUUGGGAGACAUGACUCUAUGUCACAUGAUACUCGUGCUCCUACUAUUAUGCCCCUAGCGAUUCCAACUGGAUCUUCAAGUGGUCAUGCACUUGCUGUAUCUACCAACCCGAGCUCUGUAGACAACAUGCCUGAGCUCCCCAUAGUAGCUGAAAAAGAAAUCAAAAAGACAAGCGCAUCACGUGUGCUUCUUCGCCUCCUGAAGAGAAAGAAUACUGAUGGCUCUGCUGAAAUAGAGUUGUCAAGCAAAGUGACCAACAACGAUGCUUCAAGUGAUGGAACUACGGUGCUGGCAAUUACACCUCUCGUGUAAGUGUCUCAUCAAUUUCAAAAGAACUAUCGUUUGAUCUUGCUUCAUUCCGAUCAAUUGAUUGUAAUGCCGCUUGUACCACACACAACUCAACAAACAAGAUCAAAGACAAGAACAUUGAAGUUGACAACACGGCACUAAAGGGCGCUGCAUUUGCCACUCCUUCAAGCCUGUCUCUACCACAAGACUUCAUUCCUCCAUCAAGGUAACCAGAACAUUAUUAGUCCUCCGACUCUUUGGUUGUUAUAUACUAAGAUCUUGCCGCUGGUCCUCAGCGCUGCUGAAGACCUUACAGUUGAAUCAGGAACUUCCACUAAGCAGACUAACCCUCCUAAGAAAUUUAAGAUGGGCAAGACUGUUGUUACUGCCUCUAAUACUCCAAACAAGCCUAAGAAGGGACACACUGGCUCCAAAAAAAAGUGAUAUCCUUCACCUCUUGCGUUUGGAUGGUCACAUGAGCACAAGAUGCUAGCGUUUAAGCUCAUCCGACUCUGCAUGUUAACUAUUCCUGCGAAUGCAACUCCCUUAUGUUAUGUAAUAUAUCAAUGAUCCACCAAAGUAGUAGUGGAUCCAAACUUACCAGUAUUCGAUGAUAUCGAGCUCAUGUUCAGCCAAGUGCUUUUCCGUUUACCGCUGCUUGUCAGCGUAAGCAGAUUUGUUGUGCAUCUGUUCUGUAGCAGAAUGUUAAAAGACUUAAUAUUCAGCUAGCUGCUUUUCCCUCUCAUGCCACCUAUUGGCACAGGCAGAAGAGCCGAGUACGUAUUGUAUAUAGUUUAUUCUACACUAGAAGCUUGUAAGACCUAAUAUUCAGCUAAUUGCUUUUCCCUUUCAUGUCACUUGCUGACAUAAGCAGAGGUGCUGACUACAUAUUGUACAUAGUACUACCUUGUAAGACUUGAACCUAAGUUAUGGUUUCCCUUAUGCAGUGAAGUACUUAUGUGUAUUA